This is a long non-coding RNA of Triticum urartu, 2889 nucleotides long. RefSeq lists it as uncharacterized. The record is from RefSeq and is a predicted model, not a curated record. Lineage: Eukaryota; Viridiplantae; Streptophyta; Magnoliopsida; Poales; Poaceae.
AAAAAAAGGAGAAGCCCACCGCACCAAUCUCUCCCUCCCUCUCUCGUGCGAACCUCUCCUUCCCAACCUACGAUCUCCUCGCCGCCGCCACCAACCAUGCCGGCCGGUUCCGGCGAGCUCAGGCCACGCGCAGCACGACCCUGAGCUCCCCAAGAUCCGCACCCCCUCCCCUCCGUUCAGAUCCGCGCCUCAAGGCCCGCAACCUCGCCCGCUGCUAGGGUUUCUUAGUCGGAACCCGCCACAACCGGCGAUGGCGAGGCCCAAGUUCGCGAGAUCCGUCACCGGCAUUGCCCAGGCCACCAUGGCGUGGAGACGGCGACGACGGCAGGAGGGCGCAAGGCCUUGCCCUGCUCAAGGAGGAGGAGGAGGGGCGCACCUAGCCGCCGGCCAUGCUCUGCUUAAGGAGGAGGGGCGGGAGGGGUCUGCUGCUAGGGAGACCAAGAGAUCCUGCCCGAGCUCAAGCACGGCCACGACGACCCACUGCGGCAGGUAGCAUAUCCCUCCCUCUCUACCUCUGCUCACUAAUGAAGCUAAGUUAAGGAAUAUUUGAUGCAAAUCAUGGUUGCCUCAAGGAAUUCAAGAGGGAUUUGUAUGAACAAGUCCAGUUUUUUUAUUUAGUUAGUUAGUGCCAAACAGAGAGAGAGAAGAUGAGGCCCAGAUUGGUCAAUUUGGCUGCCACUUCAUGGAUUUGUAUCUAUGCAACCAUCUCCCUCCUGUUUGUAUGGUUUGGAUUGCAAGAAAUUCAGUUUCGGGUGACCUGCACCUAGUUUAACUUCUGUGAAUAAUGAACCAUCUGACAUAAAUAUGUUGUGUACAUUCUGAAUCCCCAACAUGACACAAAUUCAAUUACUAGUGUUUGUGAACAUAGCCUACCUAUUCACCAAAUGAAGAAUCCACCCAAGAUUCUGGCCAUGUCGGCAAGUCCACCCCGUCCAAGGACCUCAAUACCGCGCCUCCCUGCCUCAGAUCUUGAUUUCCCCACCUUCGGGCUUGCUCCACUUGCCCUACAGGCUCGGCGUGCAGCUCCAAGCCAUCACCAUUGACUUCUAGAGGGCCUUCCAGGUCCACGACAAGCUCUACACCGGCCUUGUCCCUCUCUUUUGCCUCUAUGGGUAAACUUACUUGCUACAGAUUAUUCACAAUUUCUCCAUUGUUAGCAGCAUCUGCUUAAGUAGAAUUUUUAAAACUGGUUAUUAGCUGAAAUUACAAUAGUUAAUUCUUUUAUCUGUAUGUCGCCUGAUCUGUUGCUUGUUGCCAGAUUCUUGUUAUACCAAGAUUGUCUUGAUUAUCCUAAGAUUGUAGAUUUAUUUUUCUCUUGAACCUAUGUUUCUUUUCAUGCAUGUCUAACAUCUACAUGGAACUCUUGAGGUAAAUAAUAUAAGGAGAUUUUUUGUGGUACAUGUGCAUGAACCUAUAGUCGGUUAUUACCGGCUGCCAUUUUUUUAUUAUAUGCGGCUCGUUGUAUAGAGGCUUAUCUAUGCAUUAGUAUUUGAUGCUCUAUCAUGUUAGUUUCCUUGAUCUGCUUUUUGAGCCUUACCAUCAUUUUUUUCUUGUACGCGGCAAUGGCGGGAGUGCCAUAUUGGGCAGAGGAAGAGGAUGAGAAGAAAGAAGGCUUGGGCGUCAGUGGGCGGCAAUGGCGGGAGUGCCAUAUUGGGCAGAGGAGUGCCAUGUUAGUUUCCUCUAUGUCGGAAUGCUCAUCACCUCAUAGGGAAGAUCUGAACCAAGUGACUGCAAGGGUUGUUUGGCAAUGUGUAGGUCAAUCUUACCCUUGCGGACAAGUAACAUUUUUUCUCCAGAUUUAGUCUACAUUGUCCAGGUUGUAUGCUUCGAUUGAGAACCAUCAAGGUAAUACUCUUACCCCACAUGUUGUUCUACAAGAAAAGUAUAAACAAGAUUCAAGUGAGCGUUUAUGGGGUUGCUUGUUCAUAUGAUUUGUUCAUGUGCUUCAUGUUGUAAUUCCAGUCAAGUAAAGACAACAGAAACAUGGUACCCUCUUUACUACUGAAGUUUUGCAACCAUGUUAAUAGUUAAUGCAAAUUGUUGGGACUCUUCUGAGAAGAUUAUUUCAUUAGUUUAUUUCUGUAACUAUUUCCUGUUCAAUAAUAAAGGUUGAGAUCACUACAAGAAAUGGUUCUGAUUGGUUCUACAUAUGAAUUAUGUUAAAUUCUACAUAUGAGGUUGUGUUUCCGCCAUGUAUACUUUGUGUGCAUGUGUUGUUUCCUUUGAGGUUAACUUAUAGUUUGCAAUCAGUUUGUUUUGGUUGUUUAUGAGCUGUGUUGUGUUGUACUGCUCAUGGCUGUGCUGUUUAUUAUACUGUGUUAAAGUUACACGAUUCACAUAUCUUGAUCUUGGAAGUUAUUGAUGUGAGCUUUUCUUGCACAGUGUUGAGAGCUAACAGACGAAUAAUCUUGCAGGUCCUGAAAUUUUUAUGGGAGUAUGUCUUAAAGUCUUGUGUUUCUGUUCAUUGAUGUGAACUUUUAAGUCUCACUGUUGAAUGUAAAACCACCAUUUGUCUUUCGUUUGCUCAUAUUUUGUAUGCUUUCUUAUGUUUGAUUAUUCCUAUUACCAGGAUGAUCUGAAUCACUCAGAAGAAGCGGAGGGUAGAAGGAGGGCACAAGAAGCUUCGUUUCUCAUUGCUGUUAUGUGUGAUAACUUAAAACUUGUGCUUCUCAUCCAAUCUUUGUAGAACUAUGUUGUUGUGCGCUUGUGCACUUGUUGGAUCCUUUUGUUGUGCACUCGCACAUGUAGAACUAUUUUUCUGUACACUUUUAGAAUCAUUUUGCUGUGCACUUGUUGAGCCUUGAACCUUGGUGUGUAGAGGAGUCGAUGGAUGAUGUAUUGUAUUUCAUGUGAUGUGCUACUGAAAUGAAAUAUACAGUUUAUCUGCAA